RNAcentral lists this ribosomal RNA (497 nucleotides) under uncultured bacterium. RNAcentral's name for it is "partial 16S ribosomal RNA". It matches the Rfam family "Bacterial small subunit ribosomal RNA", at positions 28 to 507 of the family's 1533-position model. The record is from RNAcentral.
GAUGAACGCUGGCGGCGUGCCUAAUACAUGCAAGUCGAGCGAACGGACGAGAAGCUUGCUUCUCUGAUGUUAGCGGCGGACGGGUGAGUAACACGUGGAUAACCUACCUAUAAGACUGGGAUAACUUCGGGAAACCGGAGCUAAUACCGGAUAAUAUUUUGAACCGCAUGGUUCAAAAGUGAAAGACGGUCUUGCUGUCACUUAUAGAUGGAUCCGCGCUGCAUUAGCUAGUUGGUAAGGUAACGGCUUACCAAGGCAACGAUGCAUAGCCGACCUGCGAGGGUGGUCGGCCACACUGGAACUGAGACACGGUCCAGACUCCUACGGGAGGCAGCAGUAGGGAAUCUUCCGCAAUGGGCGAAAGCCUGACGGAGCAACGCCGCGUGAGUGAUGAAGGUCUUCGGAUCGUAAAACUCUGUUAUUAGGGAAGAACAUAUGUGUAAGUAACUGUGCACAUCUUGACGGUACCUAAUCAGAAAGCCACGGCUAACUACAUG